AUAUUCUGGCUUGGUUUGAUGACUCUGCUACAGAUGAGCAAGAAGCCCUAGGUGACCCAUUUACCCUUCCCCAGCAGGGUACCAGCUGCCAAUUGCCCCCACUCUGUGAUGGCUUGUCCUUCUUCUCACCUUGUCAUCAAGCCAAGACUGAACACUGUAGGAGCACAGACAUGGGAUUUUGCUGCAAUUUCAGUUACCGGUUUUGUGGUUGAUGGGUUUUUUUUUCUGCUCUGGCAGGACAGAAAUAUCCAAAGAUCAAAGACCACCUGAGCAGGUCCAGACGACACUUAUUGUCAGUGCAAAUGUGUCCAUGGGAAAACUGUGGUCAACAGAGUUUUAGAGAAAAGUGCAUAUUGCUUUUUCUGCUG
This is a long non-coding RNA of Pezoporus occidentalis (night parrot), 368 nucleotides long. RefSeq lists it as uncharacterized. The transcript is spliced from 3 exons. NCBI's taxonomy places the organism in Eukaryota, Metazoa, Chordata, Aves, Psittaciformes, Psittacidae. The record is from RefSeq and is a predicted model, not a curated record.